RNAcentral lists this long non-coding RNA (1738 nucleotides) under Zostera marina. RNAcentral's name for it is "long non-coding RNA (ZMAR_LNC004958)". Lineage: Eukaryota; Viridiplantae; Streptophyta; Magnoliopsida; Alismatales; Zosteraceae. The record is from RNAcentral.
UGAAGAGUAAAAUACAGAAUAAAUAUUAAAUAAUAACGCAUUUUCACCAAUUUUAGAAAAAAAUUACAAAAUCACAAGUAAAAUAAUAGAAGUAGAAAAAAGAAAAUAAAAAUUGUAUGUCUCAUGGCCAGUCCCAAAAGGUAAGUGCAGCAACGCCGCUACUCAAGGCAAUGGAAUAUGAGACCGCAAAUGAAUAGAGAAUAAUCCACAAGGAAUAAACCAUGAGAAAUACAUCAAUAUCCAAAGCUUUAUAUACAAUGUUUACUACGAGCUAUACAGAAACUCAUAUUCUGUCUCGGAUAAAGAAAAGGAGCGUCGCUGCCAGCGAAACAUCCUCCAUUGCAUAAACUAAUAAACAAAAGGAAAAAAUUUAAAAGAAACUCAGACAUCCAAGGAAGGAUCAAAAAAGCACAGACUCUCAAGCCCGGCGAGGCGAAAGCCCUUAGACGGAGCGAAUAUUGAGAAACAAGCUUUUGGAUUUAUCAUCGUCGACACACUGCAUCGGAACAGAUCUUCAACAAAUAAUCAAUAAAAAAAUUUAAAAAAAUUAUCAAAACAAAUAUGAAAUUAGAAGCACUCGGAUAAUCUCGGACAUCCAAGGAAAGAGCGAAACAGAACAGACUCUCAAGACCGACGAAGCGAAAGCUCUUAGACGACCCUGCGAUUGUUGAGAAAAAAGAAAAUAAGAAUUAAAUGUACGUCUUAUGGCCAGUCCCUAAAGAUAAUUGCAGCAACGCCGCUACUCAAGGCAAUGGAAUAUAAGACCGCAAAUGGAUAGAGAAUAAUCCGCUAGGAAUAAACCAAGAGAAAUCUAUCAAUAUCCAAAGCUUUAUUUGCAAUGUUUACUACGAGAUAUACAGAAACUCAGAUUCUGCCUCGGAUCAAGAAAAGGAGCGUCGCUGCCAGCGAAGCAUCCUCCAUUGUAUGAAAUGAUAAACAGAAAAUAAAAUUAAAAUUAACUCAGACAUCCAAGGAAGGAGCGAAACAGCACAGACUCUCAAGCCCGGCGAGGCGAAAGCCCUUAGGCGGCCCUGCGAAUGUUGAGAAACAAGCCUAUGGAUUUAUCAUCAUCGCCAAAACUAAUCGGAAUAGAUCUUCAGGAAAUAAUCAACAAAAAUUUAAAAAAAUAUAUAUCAAAACAAAUAUGAAAUUGGAAGCAUUCGAUUAAUCUCAGACAUCCAAGGAAGGAGCGAAACAGCACAGACUCUCAAGCCCGGCGAGGCGAAAGCCCUUAGGCGGCCCUGCGAAUGUUGAGAAACAAGCCUAUGGAUUUAUCAUCAUCGCCAAAACUAAUCGGAACAGAUCUUCACGAAAUAAUCAAUAAAAAUUAAAAAUUAUAUAUCAAAACAAAUAUGAAAUUGGAAGCAUUCGAUUAAUCUCAGACAUCCAAGGAAGGAGCGAAACAGCACAGACUCUCAAGCCCGGCGAGGCGAAAGUCCUUAGGCGGCCCUGCGAAUGUUGAGAAACAAGCCUAACGAUCUGUCAUCAUCGAUUCUGCAACACUAAAAAAAGAAAAAAAAUCCGAUCGAAAUCGUCAAAAUACAAAGACCAAACGAAAACCUAAAUGAAAUUUCUUACACGAACUGAACCAUAUCACCUCGGUCCUAUUUAUAUGCACUCACUAAUCUUUCCACCGUUGGAUUAUUUUCUAUUUUAUUCGUGGGGUCAUUGGAUAUUUUGCAGUGAAUAUCCUGAAAAAUUCUUUUAUUAUCUAUCAUUACUUUAUAAAUAAAGUUUG